RNAcentral lists this ribosomal RNA (131 nucleotides) under uncultured bacterium. Its description in RNAcentral is "partial 16S ribosomal RNA". It matches the Rfam family "Bacterial small subunit ribosomal RNA", at positions 356 to 504 of the family's 1533-position model. The record is from RNAcentral.
GGGGGAUAUUGCACAAUGGGGGAAACCCUGAUGCAGCAACGCCGCGUGAGUGAAGAAGUAUUUCGGUAUGUAAAGCUCUAUCAGCAGGGAAGACGAUGACAGUACCUGACUAAGAAGCCCCGGCUAACUAC